Magallana angulata is the source of this 395-nucleotide long non-coding RNA. RefSeq lists it as uncharacterized. The transcript is spliced from 5 exons. NCBI's taxonomy places the organism in Eukaryota, Metazoa, Mollusca, Bivalvia, Ostreida, Ostreidae. The record is from RefSeq and is a predicted model, not a curated record.
UAUACGGCUUAUUGACCUAAUGUCUUUCGAUGAAUACGGACGGAGAUUAUCGCUGACCAAUGAAGCUCUUCCUCUUUCUUCUCAUUUCGUUGGUCCUUAUCAACAUUUCAUAUACGGAACCACGUUCGGCUUUUGUACAGAAACGUGGAGUGUUCAAACGCAGACUAGCUACCGGUUUUCGGUAUGGAUGGAGUUAUAAAUCCAAUUCUGGCAAACGUGGGGUGGACGGACAAGCAUCAUUUAAGAGAGAAGAAGGAGGAAACAGAAGACGGUUGUAGCAGUGGUGUAAAAAAGCAGUGACAUUAUCGAAACCAUUAUUUAGACACUGAUCAAUUUUGGAGUCAAUGUUUUUCCUGUAAAGGCUCUACUGCAAAUAAACAAAUAAGUGAUUUCAU